RNAcentral lists this ribosomal RNA (480 nucleotides) under uncultured Pelotomaculum sp. RNAcentral describes it as "bacterial SSU rRNA". It matches the Rfam family "Bacterial small subunit ribosomal RNA", at positions 902 to 1382 of the family's 1533-position model. The record is from RNAcentral. Lineage: Bacteria; Bacillati; Bacillota; Clostridia; Eubacteriales; Desulfotomaculaceae.
CAAAUGAAUUGACGGGGCCCGCACAAGCGGUGGAGCAUGUGGUUAAUUCGACGCAACGCGAAGAACCUUACCAGGGCUUGACAUCCCCUGACCGCGUAUGAAAGUACGUUUUCACCCUCGGGUGACAGGGAGACAGGUGGUGCAUGGUUGUCGUCAGCUCGUGUCGUGAGAUGUUGGGUUAAGUCCCGCAACGAGCGCAACCCCUACGUUUAGUUGCUAACAGGUGAAGCUGAGCACUCUAGACGAACUGCCGUUGACAAAACGGAGGAAGGUGGGAUGACGUCAAAUCAUCAUGCCCCUUAUGUUCUGGGCUACACACGUGCUACAAUGGCCGGUACAGACGGAGGCGAAGCCGCGAGGCGGAGCAAAUCCGAAAAAGCCGGUCUCAGUUCGGAUUGCAGGCUGCAAUUCGCCUGCAUGAAGUCGGAAUCGCUAGUAAUCGCAGGUCAGCAUACUGCGGUGAAUACGUUCCCGGGCCUU